This 423-nucleotide unclassified non-coding RNA is filed under the name soil metagenome. RNAcentral's name for it is "partial contains 5.8S ribosomal RNA, internal transcribed spacer 2, and large subunit ribosomal RNA". The stretch from base 1 to 120 matches the Rfam family "5.8S ribosomal RNA", at positions 35 to 154 of the family's 154-position model. The record is from RNAcentral.
GAUGAAGAACGUAGCGAAAUGCGAUAAGUAAUGUGAAUUGCAGAAUUCAGUGAAUCAUCGAAUCUUUGAACGCACCUUGCGCUCCCUGGUAUUCCGGGGAGCACGCCUGUUCAAGUGUCGCGAAAUUCUUCAAGCCUUGGAUGGAUUUUUUUUUGUCUGUCCUUGGGCUUGGUUGUUGGGCUCUGCCGUGUCCUUCAUUGGGACGGCUGGCCUUAAAAGCAUUAGCCGAUCCUCGUGUGGUACUGGUUCUACUCAGCGUGAUAACAAUCUGAUCGUUGCGGACAUCUUCUGGAUGGCCAGUCAUCAUUUGGGUUGCUUCUAAACCGGUUUCGCAGAUUGCUCAAUCUGUGUGCCACUUUUCAGCUUUGACCUCGAAUCAGGUGGGACUACCCGCUGAACUUAAGCAUAUCAAUAAGCGGAGGA